This is a long non-coding RNA of Cherax quadricarinatus, 1060 nucleotides long. RefSeq lists it as uncharacterized. NCBI's taxonomy places the organism in Eukaryota, Metazoa, Arthropoda, Malacostraca, Decapoda, Parastacidae. The record is from RefSeq and is a predicted model, not a curated record.
UCUUAAGCAUAUAAUGACCCCUAGCUGGAGCUAGGGGUCAUCUGACCGAGGCCUUCCGUUGGCUUACCAGUUCACCCCUUUAAAAAUUAUGGUAAUAAUUAUAACCAUUAGAUGAGCGUCUGCUAUAACAAUCAGGAGGGUUUUGGCCAGAUAGAUCACCUGUUCCCAUUAGCUAUAUCUAUUUCUUAAUACUGUAUCAGAUUUUCACUAUAUUUUUCAUAUAUCAAACCGAAAACACGAUUUAUGAAACGUAAUAUGUAGGAAGGAAAAAUUCAGCAUCUAAAAGACUGUCACAGCUUAGAAACAGAAGCGGCAGGAGAUAACGAAGUCAAGUGAAAAAAAAAAAUCGAACAAGUUAGUCUUCCUAGCGGUGAACACUCGCCCGCGCGCGCCAUAUAGGCAUUGUCACUAGACUGUUUAGUACUGUGGAGGGAAAGUGGAAUAUUUCGCUGGAAAAUAUUGAUUAAAUACGAAAGGGCGGAUAUUUAUUGGUGGGUCCCUAGCCUGGGAUGGCAGCCACCAGCCUGAGGGAACACGGAUGGCAGCCACCAGCCUGAGGGAACACGGGUGACAGCCACCAGCCUGAGGGAACACGGGUGGCAGCCACCAGCCUGAGGGAACACGGGUGGCAGCCACCAGCCUGAGGGAACACGGGUGGCAGCCACCAGCCUGAGGGAACACGGAUGGCAGCCACCAGCGAGACACCUCGGUGUCUUCAUACUUCGCCACACGGUAAGUGGAUUUCAGACCUCAUCGAGGACCGAGACGCCCAGGUAUGUUCUUUUGUUACAAGGUGAGCUACAACAGCACUAGUUCCUGACAGGUAACUCCCAAUUCUUUUCUCUCACAGGAGUUACACUUGAGCAGUCUUUAGAUGCUCCCAUUUGUUACGGCGGUAGCCACCUCUAAUUUUGCCCAUUGAAGUUUGGGCCUUUGGGGUAUUGGGGAAAGGAUCUUUCCCCGGGGGAUUUGGGAAGAGUUUAUUCCCUUGGUUUUGGGAAAGAGGUUCCUAUCGAAAGUUGGGGAAAGAGUCUCUCCCUCUCUCCCUCCUUCCCUUGAA